Molecule: long non-coding RNA, 487 nt
Organism: Vombatus ursinus (common wombat)
Lineage: Eukaryota; Metazoa; Chordata; Mammalia; Diprotodontia; Vombatidae
Exons: 4
Source: RefSeq, a predicted model, not a curated record
CACCCAGAGGCUGUAACCAGAAAGGAAGAAGCAGAGGGCUGAGGUGGUAUGGGAGCCAGGCACUGGGCUGGAAUGAAACAAGGCGUCGUCUGUCCCUGAGGUCUUUCAGAAAUGUUUUUCUCCAAAGACAAGUCAGAGCCAAUGGAUGAGAAGGUGAGAAGAGCAAGGUUCAGAGGGCCAGUGCUAAAGGAAGAGGACAGGCAGAAAGAAAUCAAGCAAGAAAAUGGAUUUCAAAACCCAGGCCUGACCUUCUCGAGAAGGGGAUCCUUCUUUCCUUUCUCUCCCUGUCAUCCCUGGAAUUCUGACGUGCACUGGAAUAUGCUAAGGCAAUCAGGUGUCUGCACUAGAAUCAGCAUCAGCAGCAUCCACUCAGAGAAACAAGGUCCCUAAGGAGAGAAUGUGACUCCUUGAAGGCAAGGAACAUGCCUUUGUCUUUCUGGAGCUCAAUACAGUGCCUGGCACAUAUCCUGCAUCUAAUAAAUAUUAG